UGAUAUACUAGUUCAAUGAUAGAGCAUUUACCUAGCAUGCACAAGGCCCUGGGUUCAAUCCCCAAUAUUUCAA
RNAcentral lists this transfer RNA (73 nucleotides) under Marmota monax (woodchuck). RNAcentral describes it as "tRNA.Ala". The record is from RNAcentral. Lineage: Eukaryota; Metazoa; Chordata; Mammalia; Rodentia; Sciuridae.